This 657-nucleotide non-coding RNA is filed under the name Pongo abelii (Sumatran orangutan). The record is from RNAcentral. Lineage: Eukaryota; Metazoa; Chordata; Mammalia; Primates; Hominidae.
AACCGCGCCGGAGUCGCAGCGAGCGCGUGCGCACUGCCUUCCGGAGGCCGGGAGGCGGAAGUCCGAGCAGGGAGAGCUCUUGUGACGCUACGAACCUCUCGAACACCUGACGACUGGGCGCCAGGGCCGGAUGGAUGGUGGAGAGCCACUGCGGCGCAGCUGCCUCCUCUUAACGGGGACACCUAGCAGGAAUGUGCGGAGUGGAGCUAAGGGGAGCGGAUAGAAACCGAGGGAGGGGAAGAGAGCGCGAAGGCUUGGCCGGAAGGAGAGGUUAAAAAGGAAAGGCCUAAAAUGAGGAAGAGAGUUACCACAACAAGCAGUACCUAGUUCCAGUUCUUGGUCCCAGGAGUUUGUGGUUGUUGCUGCUUUCAUCUUCCUCAGCCAACACAAAAGGAAAGUGCCAAGGGGCGAUUCCUAGGACCUUCAGUGCAGUCUCCACCUUGCGGACUUGGCUUAUUUGUGUGCACUCCUUUCUCCAGCCUUUUACACUUGAUGCUCUUGGAUGAAUAGAAAGGAGCACAAUUAAUGGAAAACACAAGCUUGGGAGUCAAGGGAUUUGGGUUCUAUUCUUGUCCUCCCUUGGUGACGACAUCAUUACCUUGGGUUAUUCAAGCUUUCAGUGCCAGAGUUCCUAUAUUAAUAAAAGAUUAUUACAUU